UUGUAUUUUUAAACUGGAGAGACAGCUGAGAGGAUGUCGUCAUCUGUAACCGUCACUCGCCACAGUUCUCAAGCGAGAGCAAAGGCAGCGAGGGGUGGUGUGAUGUCAUUUGCAACAAGACGGCUGAUACUAAUAUGAGCCUAAAAUAAAGGACAAUAAUGGCAUCAGCCAUUCAAGUUAUGAUCCUGGCAGAUCUACUACUAUCUGAAAAGUAGUCUCUGCAGAUUGUUUCAAGAUACACAAGAUGGAGCGUGGAGAGACGGGACAUGGACCACAGUUUUUCAGCACCCACACCCCACACUCAAAUUCAUAUAGAAGUUCUCAAUUAUUAAAUGUUAAUUUCAUAGUUUAUAUUUAGCUGUGAAGUUAUAGUUCAUUAUCAUAAAUAUUAAACUACAUAUUAUUAUUAUUAUUAUUAUUAUUUUACAUGAUAUGCAAAUUUCACCAAUUUGUUUAAUGUGUUAAUUAACUUUUUGAAAGUGAUUAUCUUUAAUAAUUCAGAUACCUGUUGAAAUGCACAUGUAAUUAUAUACUUGCUCGUAUCUGGAAGGUUGUGUUAAUAAAAAUGAUGUUGAAAGCGAAUGUUGCAAUACUGCUAAUCUUAAAAUAACAUUUUAUUAAACUAAACUUUGUAAUGUUCCAAAUAAAUGUUUUUAGGGUGUUGUAUUUUUAAGAAAAUGUAGGUGGAAAUAAAGUUGUAGGAACAUUAUGCUAACCAUAAAAUAAUGUUCUAGCAACGUUAGGCAAACUGGACAUUUUGACGUUCUUGGAAUGUUCCAAAUAAACGUUAAUAGAACAUUAUAUUUUUAAUGAAAAUUAGGUUGCAAGAACAUUGCAGGAAAGUUAUGCUAACCAUAAAAUAACGUUCUAGCAACGUUAAGCAAACUGGACAUUUUAACAUUUUUGGAAUGUUCCAAAUAAAAGUUCAUAGAACGUUAUAUUUUUAAAUUAAAUUUAGGUUGCAGGAACGUUAUGCUAACCAUAAAAUGUUCUAAGAACGUUAAGCAAA
Molecule: long non-coding RNA, 1009 nt
Organism: Onychostoma macrolepis
Lineage: Eukaryota; Metazoa; Chordata; Actinopteri; Cypriniformes; Cyprinidae
Exons: 4
Source: RefSeq, a predicted model, not a curated record